AUAGUCAGUGGGGGUAGACGCGAAACUUUGUGAUCUAUCCAUGGGCAGGGUGAAGGUUAGGUAAAACUAACUGGAGGCCCGAACUCAUUAGCGUUGAAAAGCUAUGGGAUGACCUGUGGAUAGGGGUGAAAGGCCAAUCAAACUGAGAGAUAGCUCGUUCUCCCCGAAAUGUUUUUAGGAACAGCCUUGGAUAUAGACGUAUUAUAGAGGUAGAGCUACUAAUUGGGCUAGGGGGCUUCACCGCCUACCAAACCCUAAUAAACUCCGAAUGCUAUAAUAUAAUCUCCAGGAGUGAGGCUGUGGGCGCUAAGGUCCAUGGCCGAGAGGGAAAUAACCCAGACUAACAGCUAAGGUCCCUAAUCGUAUGUUAAGUUAAACAAACGCGGUUCAAAUCCUAAAACAGCCAGGAUGUUGGCUUGGAAGCAGCCAUUCAUUUAAAGAGUGCGUAACAGCUCACUGGUCGAGGGUUUGGGCACGGAAAAUAAUCGGGUAUCAAACAUACAACCGAAGCUUUAGGCCUAAGCGUAAUAGCUUAGACGGUAGGGGAGCAUUCUAAACUGCAUCGAAGGUGUGUUGCGAGACAUGCUGGAGCGUUUAGAAAAGAAAAUGUAGGCAUAAGUAACGAUAAACAAGAUGAAAAAUCUUGUCGCCGAAAGACUAAGGGUUCCUGAUCAACGCUAAUCGGAUCAGGGUUAGUCGGGUCCUUAGGCAAAGCCGAAAGGCGUAGCUGAUGGCAAGUUGGUGAAUAUUCCAACACCUGCUUAAAAUUCGAUGGGGUAACGGAGUAGUGAAAGGACUGCGCACUUACGGAAUAGUGCGUUAAAGGGAGUAGUUAUAGGUUUUGUAGGCAAAUCCGCAAGACCUGAUGAACCUGAUAGUACGGCAAAGCUUCGGCAGCGCUGAUAAUGUCCCUAAUCAGACUUCCAAGAAAAACCUCUAAGUUAUGUUUUAAGCAGCCCGUACCGCAAACCGACACAGGUAGUCGAGAUGAAUAUUCUCAGGCGCUCGAGUGAUCCGUGGUAAAGGAACUAGGCAAAUUGACGCUGUAACUUCGGGAUAAGGCGUACCACAGUGAUGUGGUCUCAGUAAAAUGGUGCAACCAACUGUUUAACAAAAACACAGGGCCCUGCAAAAUCGAAAGAUGACGUAUAGAGCCUGAUACCUGCCCGGUGCUGGAAGGUUAAGGAAGGAUGUUCGGAGCAAUCCAAAGCUUCUGACUGAAGCCCCAGUAAACGGCGGCCGUAACUAUAACGGUCCUAAGGUAGCGAAAUUCCUUGUCGGGUAAGUUCCGACCUGCACGAAUGGUCUAAUGAGUUGCACACUGUCUCUACCACGAGCUCGGUGAAAUUGUAGUAUCGGUGAAGAUGCCGGUUAAUCGCAACGGGACGGAAAGACCCCGUGAACCUUCACUACAACUUAACAUUGAUUUUGAAUGCCAGAUGUGUAGGAUAGUUGGGAGACUAUGAAGCAGCUUCGCCAGGAGUUGUGGAGUCAUCGUUGAAAUACCAACCUUCUGUUAUUUAGAGUCUAACCCGUGAAAGCGGGGACAUUGUUUGGUGGGUAGUUUGACUGGGGUGGUCGCCUCCUAAAAGGUAACGGAGGCUCGCAAAGGUACCCUCAGUACGGUUGGUAAUCGUACGCAGAGCGCAUUAGUAAAAGGGUGCUUGACUGUGAGGCAGACAAGCCGAGCAGGUGCGAAAGCAGGCUAAAGUGAUCCGGUGGUUCUGUAUGGAAGGGCCAUCGCUCAAAGGAUAAAAGGUACUCCGGGGAUAACAGGCUGAUCUCACCCAAGAGCUCAUAUCGACGGUGAGGUUUGGCACCUCGAUGUCGGUUCGUCACAUCCUGGGGCUGGAGAAGGUCCCAAGGGUUCGGCUGUUCGCCGAUUAAAGUGGCACGUGAACUGGGUUCAGAACGUCGCAAGACAGUUCGGUCCCUAUCUGUUGUGAUCGUUAGUAAAUUGAGAGGACAUGACCUUAGUACGAGAGGACCGGGUCGUACGUACCGCUGGUGUAUCUGUUGUGCCGCCAGGUGCAGUGCAGAGUAGCUAUGUACGGAUAGGAUAAACGCUGAAAGCAUCUAAGCGUGAAACCUGCUUCAAGAUGAGUUUACUUUUAAGGGCCGUCGCAGACUACGACGUUGAUAGGUUACAGGUGUAAGGGUGGUAACAUCGCAGCCGAGUAAUACUAAUUGCCCGUAAGCUUUAACUUU
This 2208-nucleotide ribosomal RNA is filed under the name Chitinophaga terrae (ex Kim and Jung 2007). RNAcentral describes it as "23S ribosomal RNA". It matches the Rfam family "Bacterial large subunit ribosomal RNA", at positions 696 to 2925 of the family's 2925-position model. Lineage: Bacteria; Pseudomonadati; Bacteroidota; Chitinophagia; Chitinophagales; Chitinophagaceae. The record is from RNAcentral.